AGUCGAGCGGACAGAAGGGAGCUUGCUCCCGGAUGUUAGCGGCGGACGGGUGAGUAACACGUGGGUAACCUGCCUGUAAGACUGGGAUAACUCCGGGAAACCGGAGCUAAUACCGGAUAGUUCCUUGAACCGCAUGGUUCAAGGAUGAAAGACGGUUUCGGCUGUCACUUACAGAUGGACCCGCGGCGCAUUAGCUAGUUGGUGGGGUAAUGGCUCACCAAGGCGACGAUGCGUAGCCGACCUGAGAGGGUGAUCGGCCACACUGGGACUGAGACACGGCCCAGACUCCUACGGGAGGCAGCAGUAGGGAAUCUUCCGCAAUGGACGAAAGUCUGACGGAGCAACGCCGCGUGAGUGAUGAAGGUUUUCGGAUCGUAAAGCUCUGUUGUUAGGGAAGAACAAGUGCGAGAGUAACUGCUCGCACCUUGACGGUACCUAACCAGAAAGCCACGGCUAACUACGUGCCAGCAGCCGCGGUAAUACGUAGGUGGCAAGCGUUGUCCGGAAUUAUUGGGCGUAAAGGGCUCGCAGGCGGUUUCUUAAGUCUGAUGUGAAAGCCCCCGGCUCAACCGGGGAGGGUCAUUGGAAACUGGGAAACUUGAGUGCAGAAGAGGAGAGUGGAAUUCCACGUGUAGCGGUGAAAUGCGUAGAGAUGUGGAGGAACACCAGUGGCGAAGGCGACUCUCUGGUCUGUAACUGACGCUGAGGAGCGAAAGCGUGGGGAGCGAACAGGAUUAGAUACCCUGGUAGUCCACGCCGUAAACGAUGAGUGCUAAGUGUUAGGGGGUUUCCGCCCCUUAGUGCUGCAGCUAACGCAUUAAGCACUCCGCCUGGGGAGUACGGUCGCAAGACUGAAACUCAAGGAAUUGACGGGGGCCCGCACAAGCGGU
RNAcentral lists this ribosomal RNA (890 nucleotides) under Bacillus safensis. RNAcentral describes it as "bacterial SSU rRNA". It matches the Rfam family "Bacterial small subunit ribosomal RNA", at positions 60 to 933 of the family's 1533-position model. The record is from RNAcentral. Lineage: Bacteria; Bacillati; Bacillota; Bacilli; Caryophanales; Bacillaceae.